UACGGAAGGAGCAGUGGGGAAUAUUGCACAAUGGGCGCAAGCCUGAUGCAGCCAUGCCGCGUGUAUGAAGAAGGCCUUCGGGUUGUAAAGUACUUUCAGUCGUGAGGAAGGUGUUAAGGUUAAUAACCUUAGCAAUUGACGUUAGCGACAGAAGAAGCACCGGCUAACUCCGUGCCAGCAGCCGCGGUAAUACGGAGGGUGCGAGCGUUAAUCGGAAUUACUGGGCGUAAAGGGCACGCAGGCGGUUAAUUAAGUUGGAUGUGAAAUCCCCGGGCUUAACCUGGGAAUGGCAUUCAAGACUGGUUAGCUAGAGUCUUGUAGAGGGGGGUUAGAAUUCCAUGUGUAGCGGUGAAAUGCGUAGAGAUGUGGAGGAAUACCGGUGGCGAAGGCGGCCCCUGGGACAAAGACUGACGCUCAUGUGCGAAAGCGUGGGGAGCAAACAGGGAUUAGAUACC
This 455-nucleotide ribosomal RNA is filed under the name uncultured bacterium. RNAcentral describes it as "bacterial SSU rRNA". It matches the Rfam family "Bacterial small subunit ribosomal RNA", at positions 340 to 786 of the family's 1533-position model. The record is from RNAcentral.